Anolis carolinensis (green anole) is the source of this 1922-nucleotide long non-coding RNA. NCBI's taxonomy places the organism in Eukaryota, Metazoa, Chordata, Lepidosauria, Squamata, Anolidae. The record is from Ensembl.
AGCACUGUACAUUUCUCCCUUUUGAAUUUAUUUCUGUAGUUUUGGCCCAGCUCUCUGUUAAGGUCAAUUUGGAUCUGAUCCUGUCCUCUGUAAUAUUUGCUUUCUCUCCCAAUUUGGUGUCACCAGCAACUUUGAUGUAUGACUUCUAUUCUGUCGUCCAAAUCAUAAAUACGUUGAAUAGCCCUAGGCCUAGGACAACCUUGAGGCACUCCAAUGAUCGCUUCCCUCCAGGAUGAAGAGGACUGAAUAUCUGCACAGUUCUGCUUUAAGAGAUUAGCUAGCAGAAAUGUGAUGAAAUGCUUCUAAACAAAGGGUGGAGGUCUGUUUUCUGGGCUCAUGCAGGUGAAACAGGAGAAAACGCUGCUAGAACACAGCCACAUAGCUCAGAAAACACACAACACCCCAGUGAUUCUGGCCGUGAAAGCCUUCAACAAUACAUAUAAAUGGUGCUUUAAUAUUAUACUACUCCUUGGUACUGAAGCAUAGUAUAUGGGCUAUCAUUGUAGCGAGGAAAUUACAACUCAAAACUUCACUGCUUACUGCUACUUUAUAUCUAGACUAGCCUCUCUGAUUGGGAGCUGGCACAGUGUUCUCAUAAUGCCAGUAAUGGCCCUGCAUCACAACUCAAUGGGUGAACAAGGGGUAGUUUGGAUAAACCUGUCCCCUGCCUGUGAGGACUUGGUGGGAGACAACUUGUCAUGGCACAAGUAGCAGAAUAGAUUCUGCAAGACAAGGCACUAGCGUCUAAACACCUCCAGAUGCUAGAUCACAGCAACCAGAGAUAAGGAGACCUUGAAAUGCAAAAUGAUUGGUGGGCGCCACCGCUUGAAGUCUUUGACUGACUACGUGGAAUCAGAGAGCUCUUUGGAAGAGGCAAUUGACAGGAGCAAAAGAACACCUGAACUGAGAAGAGAUGAAUGGUGGAGAGAGUCCAUGAGGGUAUGUAUAAUUGUUCGUUUAAUUAUUAACUUAGCAUCAGAAAAGAAGAAACAAUACAGUGACCAAUUUGUGGAGGUGGUGCACAGUUGUAGAGUAUGACAUUCAAUUCUGAUUUAAAAUGAAAAGGAAAGGAGGAAAAGGAAUCUAGUGGCACAUUUAAGGCUGAAUUAUUUUAGCAUCGAUUUUUGUAGAUUUCAGCCCACUUCACAUACAUUGUUGGAAUGCAAAAUUCAAGCCACAGAUAUUUAAAUACAGUUGCAUCGUUAUACAGGUGGAAUCAGAGUGUAAUACAAAAGGAUGCAAUGUGUGAACUUGUUCAGAGUUGUGCAAGUCUGCUAAGCAGGUGGUCAGUUAGACCUGAAGUGUCAACAUGACAUAUAAAGAAAUAAAGAUUAUUAUUAUUAUCGUUGCUGCUGCUGUUGUUGUUGUAGGUAUUUUCAUAUAGUACAAAGUAAAGGUAAAGGUUUUCCCUUGACAUUAAGUCUAGUCAUGUCCGACUCUGGGGGUUGGUGCUCAUCUCCAUUUCUAAGCUGAAAAGCCUGCGUUGUCCAUAGACACCUCCAAGGUCAUGUGGCCAGAAUGACUGCAUGGAGCACCGUCACCUUCCUGCCAGAGCAGUACCUAUUGUUCUACCCAUAUUUGCAUGUUUUCAAACUGCUAGAUUGGCAGAAGCUGGGGCUAACAGAGGGAGCUCACUCCUCUCCCCAGAUUCGAACCGCCAGCCUUUCAGUCAGCAAGUUCAGCAGCUCAGUGGUUUAAUCCACUGCACCACCAGGAACUCCUUUAAAUGCACACACAUAUAGUACAUGUGUUGAGUGAUUUCAGCUAUCCACUAAGAACAUGGCUUUAGAGCCUGAUGUGCUUUGCUAUUCCAAAGAUCCACAUGUCUUUGUGGAUAUAUCUAACUACAAGCCUAAUUUUAUUUUUAAAAAUAUCCAGGAUUUGCAUAACUGGUUUCCUUCACAUUUUGUGCUAAAAUAUAG